GUAGGUGGCAAGCGUUGUCCGGAAUUACUGGGUGUAAAGGGAGCGUAGGCGGGAAAGCAAGUUAAAUGUUUAAACUAUCGGCUCAACCGAUAAUCGCGUUCAAAACUGUUUUUCUUGAGUGAAGUAGAGGUAGGCGGAAUUCCUAGUGUAGCGGUGAAAUGCGUAGAUAUUAGGAGGAACACCAGUGGCGAAGGCGGCCUACUGGGCUUUAACUGACGCUGAGGCUCGAAAGCGUGGGUAGCAAACAGGAUUAGAUACCCUGGUAGUCCACGCCGUAAACGAUGAUUACUAGGUGUGGGGGGAUCAACCCUUCCGUGCCGCAGCAAACGCAAUAAGUAAUCCACCUGGGGAGUACGACCGCAAGGUG
This 367-nucleotide ribosomal RNA is filed under the name uncultured bacterium. RNAcentral's name for it is "bacterial SSU rRNA". It matches the Rfam family "Bacterial small subunit ribosomal RNA", at positions 527 to 895 of the family's 1533-position model. The record is from RNAcentral.